GAGUUUGAUCUGACUCAAGGAUGAACUGCGCGUGUAAUACAUGCAGUCGAGGGCAGAUAAGAGCCUGCUCCUUUGAGUUAUCGGGGACGGGUAGUAACGCCGUGGUAACCUACCUAUAGCCUGUAAUAACUCGGGAACCCAGCUAAUCCGGAUCAUAUAAUCCGCAUGGUUCUAUAGUAAAAUGGUUGCAUCACUAUAGAUGGUCCGCCCGUUUAGCUAGUGGUAAGGUAAUGGCUUACCAAGCACAUGCGUACCGACCUGAGAGGGUGUCGCCCGCUGGAACUGAGGCUCGGUCCAGCUCCUACGGGAGGCAGCAGUAGGGAAUCUCCGCAAUGGCGAAAGCCUGGCGAGCACCGCGUGAGUGAUGAAGGUUUUCGGAUCGUAAACUCUGUUAUUAGGGAAGAACAAUGCGUAAGUACUGUGCGCAUCUUUCGGUACCUAUCAAGAGCACGGAGGGGUC
Molecule: ribosomal RNA, 460 nt
Filed under: uncultured Staphylococcus sp.
Lineage: Bacteria; Bacillati; Bacillota; Bacilli; Caryophanales; Staphylococcaceae
Description: bacterial SSU rRNA
Rfam family: Bacterial small subunit ribosomal RNA
Source: RNAcentral